GCCAAACAUUAACCAGUCCAUGUGUACACGCCAUCAGUGCAAAACAGCGUCGUUUCACUUCAAGAUUGCCUUUCUUUUGUAAGGUAAUUCUCUCCAUUAUUCCAAUGCCUAUAGAAGUGUCUCCUGAAAAAGGGAUAUUCUUGUAAUCCUUUCUUUCACCAUGCUGUCAUGCUUUUGUACUUAUGUUAUUCCUUUCUUGCACUAUACUGCCAUGCUUUUAUACCCAGGUUAAAAGAUUCCUUUUUUUUAAUUUUCUCCCUCUCACAUGAUUUCAUUCCCAUUUUUCUGAGAAAGCAUUUUGGUUUUUCUCCCUUUGAUUUGGUGGGUAAUGGUGAAUUCACUGUUGGCUUGCACUCGCAUGUACCCAUUAGCAUGAUCUCUAUAGUGAUGAGAGAGAUGGAGUGGUGAUUUUGAUUUGAGGUUUUGCUGAGGAGUUCUGGAACGUGAGGAGGGUUGGGUCAUUCAAGCAAUUCAUAGUAGUUCGAAAGUAGUGAAGUAACAUUUGCCGAUGCUUUUGAAAAAUCGACGGAUUAGUAGAUAUCUCCAUGGAUAUGAUCCUACUGAAGACGUUAGUUUGUCCCUUUUAAUUUCAGUUGCUUUGUGAAUAUCUGUGGCUAUUGUAACUAGCGUAGUCAGUAGUUACUUGAAAUCAAAAUCCAGAUAAUUCAAGUAGACACUGAUCAUAUCUUGGGUUCCUUUUAGAUUGCUUUCAAUGGUUUGAAUGAAGAUUUGAGAAAAGGGUGAUUUGUAGUGUGAGGUUUUUUUUUUUUUUAAAUUCCUCUGAUCAUUUUUCUAUGUUCUCACUAAAUCAGCUUUAUGGAAUUAUAGGCUGUUUUUCUUCUGUCAAAGAAUUUAACUUCUUGUUGUAUUUACUAUAAUAUAUUUAUCAUCAAUAAUCUUCAGUUGUGGUGCUAAUGGAUAGUGAAAAUAAUUAAAACCAAAUAUGUACCUGAAAAUGUCUUUCUGGGGAUUGGAAUUGUAGCAGAGAUCAAAUGGGGGAUACAAAAUUCUCUAUCAAAAGUGCACUUUAUUUUCUUUUUCUUCUUUUUGUUUCAAAAAUGCUUUAAUUAUCUUUUAAAAAAGUUGUGAAUUUAGCACCAGAAGAGACUUUGAUCAAUAAACUGUACAAAACAUGCUUUCACUGGAAAUCAAAAUUGUAACCAGCGAUGGGAUAGUGGAAGUAAACCAAAUAUGCACCUGAAUAUUUCUUUCUAGGGAUUGGAAUUGCAGCAUAUAUCUUCAUGGAUUCGAUCCUACUGGAGAAGUUAGUUUGUCCCUUUUAAUUUCAAUUGCUUUGUAGAUAUUUGUGCCUAUCGUAACCAACAUAGUUAGCAGUUGCCUAAAAUCAAAACCCAGAUAAUUCAAGUCUUGGGUUCUUUUUAGAUUGCUUUCAAGGAUUUGAACAAAAAUUUGACAAAAGGGUGAUUUGUACACUGUGUAUGAGGCAUUUUUUCUUAUUCCUCUGAUCAUCUUUAUGUGCUCUCACUGAACCAUCUUUAUGGAAUUAUAGCUUGCUUUUCUUCUAUCAAAGAAUUUAGCUUUUUGUUGUAUUUACUAUAAUAUGUUUAUCAUCGAUAAUCAAUAAUCUUCAGUUGUGGUGCUAAUGGGAUUGUUGCAUCUAUAAUAUGUUUAUGGAUUUGCUUUUGUUGAUUGUGUUGUUCUACAAUUUUGGGUUGGUUCUGUCAAUGAUGAAACUGCCACUACUGCUUCGGGGCAUUACUUAUGCAGGUAUGCCUUUUAAUUUUAUUGCUUAUAUAAAUGCCUAGCUGUAUUGUGCAAUACUAAAAUAAAAAAAAAAAAAUUUGAAUUCCUAUUGGAAUUUGAUUGUAGGUCUACAGAAGCAAAGCAGAGAUAAAAUGUAUACGUGUGUGUGUGUGUGUGUGUGUUCUUUUCUUUUGUAUAUGUUAAAAUUUUUAGUUUGUUUCAAGUUUCCAUAUUUCUAUGUUCCCGGAAUGGCCAAAGAAGCAUAGAAAGCACUCAGAAAGUAUACAUUAAUUGGUGAGUUUAGAGAAACUAUUUAGAUGCUCAGUUAAGAAGAGGUGCUCACCAGGUCUGAGCCUUUGACCUUCGUCUCACUUCUUCUUGGUGUCACAAACUCACUACCCAUGUUGUUCAAAGCAUCCAAGUUCUCACCUUUAUUUCCAAGUUCUCACCUUUAUUUUAUUUUCAUUGACUAAUUCAUGUUACAUGUACUAAUGCCAUGUUUUUACUUAAUUUUCUGAGGUGUUAAAGAAAAAUGAAUUUAAACUAAAUUGCUUGUGUAAUGAUAAUAGUCCACCAAGUUUAAAGUGUUCCAUGCCGUGCAGAGUUCAGAUUUAAUCAUUUUUAUGAACAUUUAUGGUUCAAUGUCUAUAUUUCUCUUAUAAA
This is a long non-coding RNA of Hevea brasiliensis (rubber tree), 2367 nucleotides long. RefSeq lists it as uncharacterized. The record is from RefSeq and is a predicted model, not a curated record. NCBI's taxonomy places the organism in Eukaryota, Viridiplantae, Streptophyta, Magnoliopsida, Malpighiales, Euphorbiaceae. The transcript has 2 exons.